CCUACGGGAGGCAGCAGUAGGGAAUAUUGCUCAAUGGGGGAAACCCUGAAGCAGCAACGCCGCGUGGAGGAUGAAGGUUUUCGGAUUGUAAACUCCUUUUGUUAGAGAAGAUAAUGACGGUAUCUAACGAAUAAGCACCGGCUAACUCCGUGCCAGCAGCCGCGGUAAUACGGAGGGUGCAAGCGUUACUCGGAAUCACUGGGCGUAAAGAGCGCGUAGGCGGGAUAGUAAGUCAGAUGUGAAAUCCUAUGGCUUAACCACAGAACUGCAUUUGAAACUGUUAUUCUAGAGUGUGGGAGAGGUAGGUGGAAUUCUUGGUGUAGGGGUAAAAUCCGUAGAGAUCAAGAGGAAUACUCAUUGCGAAGGCGACCUGCUAGAACAUAACUGACGCUGAUGCGCGAAAGCGUGGGGAGCAAACAGGAUUAGAUACCCCUGUAGUC
RNAcentral lists this ribosomal RNA (440 nucleotides) under uncultured bacterium. RNAcentral describes it as "partial 16S ribosomal RNA". It matches the Rfam family "Bacterial small subunit ribosomal RNA", at positions 338 to 795 of the family's 1533-position model. The record is from RNAcentral.